RNAcentral lists this transfer RNA (72 nucleotides) under Camelus dromedarius (Arabian camel). It matches the Rfam family "tRNA". From Rfam's summary of the family: Transfer RNA (tRNA) molecules are approximately 80 nucleotides in length. Their secondary structure includes four short double-helical elements and three loops (D, anti-codon, and T loops). The record is from Rfam by way of RNAcentral. RNAcentral also lists the same sequence under 1 other name. Lineage: Eukaryota; Metazoa; Chordata; Mammalia; Artiodactyla; Camelidae.
GAGGGUACAGCUCAGUGGUAGAGCGCGUGCUUAGCAUGCAUGAGGUCCUGCAUUCAAUCCCCAGUACCUCCA